Molecule: non-coding RNA, 46 nt
Organism: Schistosoma mansoni
Lineage: Eukaryota; Metazoa; Platyhelminthes; Trematoda; Strigeidida; Schistosomatidae
Source: Rfam
ACACUGCCGAGGAGUCCCACAAUAGGACGAAACGGCCGUCCAGUGC